Molecule: ribosomal RNA, 510 nt
Filed under: uncultured Lactobacillus sp.
Lineage: Bacteria; Bacillati; Bacillota; Bacilli; Lactobacillales; Lactobacillaceae
Description: bacterial SSU rRNA
Rfam family: Bacterial small subunit ribosomal RNA
Source: RNAcentral
ACGACGCUGGCGGCGUGCCUAAUACAUGCAAGUCGAGCGAGCGGAACCAACAGAUUUACUUCGGUAAUGACGUUGGGAAAGCGAGCGGCGGAUGGGUGAGUAACACGUGGGGAACCUGCCCCUAAGUCUGGGAUACCAUUUGGAAACAGGUGCUAAUACCGGAUAAUAAAGCAGAUCGCAUGACCAGCUUUUGAAAGGCGGCGUAAGCUGUCGCUAAGGGAUGGCCCCGCGGUGCAUUAGCUAGUUGGUAAGGUAACGGCUUACCAAGGCGACGAUGCAUAGCCGAGUUGAGAGACUGACCGGCCACAUUGGGACUGAGACACGGCCCAAACUCCUACGGGAGGCAGCAGUAGGGAAUCUUCCACAAUGGACGCAAGUCUGAUGGAGCAACGUCGCGUGAGUGAAGAAGGUUUUCGGAUCGUAAAGCUCUGUUGUUGGUGAAGAAGGAUAGAAGUAGUAACUGGCCUUUAUUUGACGGUAAUCAACCAGAAAGUCACGGCUAACUACGUG